GGUGACCAAUGAAGUACUUCGGUAUGUAAAGUUCUUUUAUUGAAAAAGAAAAAAUAGUGGAAAAACUAUCUUGACAUUAUUCAAUGAAUAAGCCCCGGCUAAUUAUGUGCCAGCAGCCGCGGUAAUACAUAAGGGGCGAGCGUUAUCCGGAAUUAUUGGGCGUAAAGGGUGCGUAGGCGGUUUGAUAAGUCUAUAGUUUAAAUGCAGUGCUUAACGCUGUAGCGCUAUAGAAACUGUCUGACUAGAGUUAGAUAGAGGCAAGCGGAAUUCCAUGUGUAGCGGUAAAAUGCGUAAAUAUAUGGAGGAACACCAGAGGCGUAGGCGGCUUGCUGGGUCUUAACUGACGCUGAGGCACGAAAGCGUGGGGAGCAAACAGGAUUAGAUACCCUGGUAGUCCACGCCGUAAACGAUGAGUACUAAGUGUCGGGUUUCGGCUCGGUACUGAAGUUAACACAUUAAGUACUCCGCCUGAGUAGUACGUACGCAAGUAUGAAACUUAAAGGAAUUGACGGGACCCCGCACAAGCGGUGGAUCAUGUUGUUUAAUUCGAAGAUACACGAAAAACCUUACCAGGUCUUGACAUAAUUUUGCGACAUUAUAGAAAUAUAAUGAAGGUUAUCAGAAUUACAGGUGGUGCAUGGUUGUCGUCAGCUCGUGUCGUGAGAUGUUAGGUUAAGUCCUAAAACGAGCGCAACCCUUGUCGUUAGUUGCGACCACGUAAUGGUGAGCACUUUAGCGAGACUGCCAAUGAAAAAUUGGAGGAAGGUGAGGAUUACGUCAAAUCAUCAUGCCCCUUAUGAUCUGGGCUACAAACGUGAUACAAUGGCUGUAAAAA
Molecule: ribosomal RNA, 835 nt
Filed under: 'Sophora alopecuroides' phyllody phytoplasma
Lineage: Bacteria; Bacillati; Mycoplasmatota; Mollicutes; Acholeplasmatales; Acholeplasmataceae
Description: bacterial SSU rRNA
Rfam family: Bacterial small subunit ribosomal RNA
Source: RNAcentral